AAUAGAUACCCGGGUAGUCCACGCCCUAAACUAUGUCAACUAGUUGUCGGGGAAGAAAUUCCUUGGUAACGCAGCUAACGCGUGAAGUUGACCGCCUGGGGAGUACGGCCGCAAGGUUAAAACUCAAAGGAAUUGACGGGGACCCGCACAAGCGGUGGAUUAUGUGGAUUAAUUCGAUGCAACGCGAAAAACCUUACCUACCCUUGACAUGUACGGAAUUCCGCAGAGAUGUGGAAGUGCCCGAAAGGGAACCGUAACACAGGUGCUGCAUGGCUGUCGUCAGCUCGUGUCGUGAGAUGUUGGGUUAAGUCCCGCAACGAGCGCAACCCUUGCCAUUAGUUGCUACAUUCAGUUGGGCACUCUAAUGGGACCGCCGGUGACAAACCGGAGGAAGGUGGGGAUGACGUCAAGUCCUCAUGGCCCUUAUGGGUAGGGCUUCACACGUAAUACAAUGGUCGGUACAGAGGGCUGCCAACCCGCAAGGGGGAGCUAAUCCCAGAAAGCCGAUCGUAGUCCGGAUUGUAGUCUGCAACUCGACUGCAUGAAGCCGGAAUCG
Molecule: ribosomal RNA, 556 nt
Filed under: uncultured bacterium
Lineage: Bacteria
Description: bacterial SSU rRNA
Rfam family: Bacterial small subunit ribosomal RNA
Source: RNAcentral